This is a non-coding RNA of Musa acuminata subsp. malaccensis (wild Malaysian banana), 2117 nucleotides long. NCBI's taxonomy places the organism in Eukaryota, Viridiplantae, Streptophyta, Magnoliopsida, Zingiberales, Musaceae. The record is from RefSeq and is a predicted model, not a curated record.
CUCCUCCUCCUCCUCUUCCUCCUCAGAUCUCCCCACCCCCUCUCUCUUCUCCUCUCCCCCCCACCCCCUUUCCUUUCUUUUGCUGCCACCAACUGUGUGUCUGUGUCUCUGUCUCUGCCAAGCCUCCACAUCCCCUGUUCCCUUUUUUUUUUCUGUUCCCCCUUUACUCCUCUCUUCCUCUCCCAAAUCUGAGAAGCGAAAGGUAACCUAAACAGGUGACUCGUGGAUCGGAAUCCCAAAUUUAGACUGCUGGUACAAUUAGCACCCCCUUUCGCGUCGGACUCGUCUGCAAUAUGAGCUGCGGCCACCACACCCGCCGCUUCCUCGUCCUCUUCAUCUUGUUCGUCGUCGUUGCGGUGGCGGCGAGCGGGGACGGGAGCGCGUACGAGGUGCUGCGGUCGCACGGGCUGCCCAUCGGGUUGCUGCCCAAGGGGGUGCGGGAGUUUUACGUGGACGGGGAGGGGCGGUUCGAGGCGCGGCUGGACGCGCCGUGCACGGCCAAGUUCGAGAGCGAGGUGCGCUACAACGCCAGCGUGGCGGGCACCAUCUCGCCCGGCCAGAUCGACGGCCUCUCCGGCAUCGCUGCCCAGGACCUCUUCCUCUGGUUCCCCGUCCGCGCCAUCCGCCUCGACGACCAGGCCUCCGGCAUCAUCCACUUCGACGUUGGCGUCGUCGACAAGCGCUUCCCCCUCUCCCUCUUCGAGUACCCGCCCGACUGCACCCCCGUCGCGUCGUCCUCUCGCCCUCUCCGCGAGGGCUCUCGCCUAGCUUCCCUCGUCGCCGAGAGCCAAUCCGGCGAGCUCCGCUACCAACUCGAUGCUCGAGACGCCGCCAUCUGAAACGAGCUCCGCCGUCCUUGUUAUUAAAGGUCCUAUAUAGCUUGGCUUUGGCUUGCUUUGCUUAUGUGUGUGCUUCUUGUGUGUCCCGUCAUGCUCUACUUUCAUUCAAGCUGAAAGACCGCUUUUUUUGAUUGAAUGAUGAUGGAGUCACCACCCCAGAAUGUGCAAGCAAUUCGGUGUAGAUCGGAUGAGAGAGCAUCCGAAGUUGGUAAAAGGAUCGAGGGCGAUUCUUUUUCCAACUACUGAAUCAUAAUCCUAAUGUUCAUAUCAUCAAUUACUAGUGAUCAUAUCAUCCGUUUGCCGGUAGAAGGCCACAUGUAUGCAGUGGAGAGUCUGGGACUUGAUCCACUGCAAAUGUCUUUCUUUGUUGUAUUUGUGAGCGAGUAAUGCAUCGAGUCUUUCUGUAUAUGCGGGAACCAUUUGUCUGUAUGUAAUCUCUAGGCAAUUUGUUGGAUCUGAGUGAUACAUACAUACAUACAUAUAUAUAUAUAUAUAUUAUAUAAUCUUGAUUGCAAAGAUGGACAACUCUAUUUAGUUUUCUUUCCUUAAAUCAGAUGUAUUUUCAGACUUAGUGUCAACCUGAUGGAAAUGUUCAUGGUGUGAAUCGAGGAUGAUGAAUGAUAGUUAUGCUUGUUCCGAGUCUAAAAUGGUAUCCUAGAGAUGGAGGUCCUGUGGAUUUGCUCGUCGACAUGAAGUUUUCUAAGAUUUAAAGCAAUCUUAGACAAUUAUGAACAGGCAAUAUUGUUGAGGCAACAAAAAAUUACAGACUUGUUAGGUUUCGGGGAUAAGGAGAGAUGAACAAGUUGUCUGUGUAGCAGGGAAAGCAGAAAUAGUCAUACUUUCUGGUGGAUGGAUGGAGCUUUGUUUGAAUGGUCUUGUCUAAUUGUUGGCAUGUGAAUCUUGGGGUCUAAGUGCUUAUGGCAUGUAGCUUUUUUGAUGGUAUAUUUCAGGAGGUCUGCAAAAGAAUCUGAAGAGCAACCCAAGCAGUACGAACAAAAGCAUUCAGAGAUUUGCUGGCAGAUAUCAAGUUCUCCAAGAAUUAGGAUCAUGUUUGGCAAUGCUGAACUGACAGGAUUUGUUGAGGUUCAUAACCAGAUUUGCAGCUAAUAUUAUUCUCAGGACCGCGCCGUGAAUGCUUAUAUGGACAACAAAAGGACAUACUUUCUUCUGAGCUUUCAGGAAUAAUGUGAGGUGACAAAAAUAUUUAUGUAUCAGGACAAGCAGAAUUGCCAUACUUUAUGGUGAAUUGGACAGAGGUAGGUCAAUCUUGGAACCCAA